CUCAUUCUUCCACGCAUGCAAUUUCACCAGAGCACACAGCAACAUCAGCCGCCGCUAGCUUGGAGCAGCAACAGUCGCCAACUUCAGAGCAACACCACUGUCACCCAACAACAGUGCCGUCAGCAAGCGCCCACAAAUCUCCAAUUUUAAAGGUUAGGGUUCCUGAAAAAGUUUGCGAUUUUGAUUUUUUAAAUUUUUUUAUAUAGUUUGUGUGUGAUCUUACUGGCCUAUGCUGUGCGAUUUGAUCAUUUGAAUGAUUACUUGAGGGACCUACUGUGCUUACAAAACUGUUGUGCAUAAUAUAUAGAUUUUAUAUAGUUUCGGUGUAACUGCAAAUUACAAAACUGCUGUGCAUUAGUAGGUUAUAGACAUAUAAAUGCCUAUUUAGUAAUUACACUAGUGUGAAAGUGUGAAGUCACGGUCCCUAUAAAAGCCUAAUUAUUGUUUGUAUAGUAUGUUCAUAUAAUUAUAAGAAGUCAAGACAUAUACUUUCACGGUCCCUAUACAAGUGUGAAGUCAAGACAUAUAAAUGCCUAAUUAUAUAGUUUACAUAUUAUGUUCAUGUGGCCUAAUCAUAUAGUUUUGUUUAUAUAUUAUUUAGGCAUUGAAGCAUAUGCAUUGAAAUGCUUGUAUUUUGAUUUAGAUGAAGAGGAUUUGGAUGAAUGAUUGAUUUCUUUAUUUGUAUUACCUUUUGAAUAAUGAAUUUGGAUGAUAUCACCUUUGAAUGAUGAAUUUAGAUGAUAUUAUCUUUUGAAUGACUAUGAAUUUGAAUGAUAAAUUGAGAAUAGAUGUUUAUUUUACAGAGUAUUAUUUUUUUUAUACAAUUAUAUGUUUAAUAUAUAAAACAUAUAUAUUUAAAAAAUUUAAUCCCGUGAAAGUUCGCCUCAUGUCUAGGUGGGACUAUCCCUCGAAUGCCUCGCCCACGCCUCGGCCUUUUAAUACAUUGGCUGUGCAAAUGAUUACACAUGACAUCAUUUUAGUUAUUUUCCUGGAGUCGAGUAUGUUAUGGACUGCCAAAAUAAUUCUUGUUGUUGUCCAUACAUCCCUCGAAUGAAAUAUUUCAAAAUGACCAAAUGGGUUUUUUACAUGGGAUCUAGCGCUUUUACUGCAACCCCGGUGUUUAAAAAUAUAUGUAUCGAUGGAAAUAUCGAUAUACAAAUUUGUAGAAAUAUUGAUGGAUAAAUCCAUAUAGAUUUCUAUA
This is a long non-coding RNA of Pyrus x bretschneideri (Chinese white pear), 1201 nucleotides long. RefSeq lists it as uncharacterized. NCBI's taxonomy places the organism in Eukaryota, Viridiplantae, Streptophyta, Magnoliopsida, Rosales, Rosaceae. The record is from RefSeq and is a predicted model, not a curated record. The transcript has 2 exons.